Molecule: ribosomal RNA, 253 nt
Filed under: uncultured bacterium
Lineage: Bacteria
Description: partial 16S ribosomal RNA
Rfam family: Bacterial small subunit ribosomal RNA
Source: RNAcentral
UACAGAGGUCCCGAGCGUUGUUCGGAUUCAUUGGGCGUAAAGGGUGCGUAGGCGGUCUCCUAAGUUUGAUGUGAAAUCCCGGGGCUCAACCCUGGAAUUGCAUUGAAUACUGGAGGACUAGAGUACCGGAGAGGAAACUGGAAUUUACGGUGUAGCAGUAAAAUGCGUAGAGAUCGUAAGGAAGACCAGUGGCGAAGGCGAGUUUCUGGACGGUAACUGACGCUGAGGCACGAAGGCCAGGGGAGCAAACGGG